This 1465-nucleotide ribosomal RNA is filed under the name uncultured prokaryote. Its description in RNAcentral is "partial 16S ribosomal RNA". It matches the Rfam family "Bacterial small subunit ribosomal RNA". The record is from RNAcentral.
GAGUUUGAUCCUGGCUCAGAACGAACGCUGGCGGCAGGCCUAACACAUGCAAGUCGAGCGCGAAAGUCCUUCGGGGCAAGUAGAGCGGCGGACGGGUGAGUAAUGCUUGGGAAUCUACCUAGUAGUGGGGGAUAACGUGUGGAAACGCACGCUAAUACCGCGUACGUCCUACGGGAGAAAGCAGGGGAUCUUCGGACCUUGUGCUAUUGGAUGAGCCUAUGUCGGAUUAGUUAGUUGGUGAGGUAAUGGCUUACCAAGACUACAAUCCGUAGCUGGUCUGAGAGGAUGAUCCCCCACACUGGUACUGAGACACGGACCAGACUCCUACGGGAGGCAGCAGUGAGGAAUAUUGGUCAAUGGACGCAAGUCUGAACCAGCCAUGCCGCGUGCAGGAUGAAUGCCCUAUGGGUUGUAAACUGCUUUUAUAUAGGAAGAAACCUUUUUAUUUAUAAAAAGCUGACGGUACUAUAAGAAUAAGCAUCGGCUAACUCCGUGCCAGCAGCCGCGGUAAUACGGAGGAUGCAAGCGUUAUCCGGAUUUAUUGGGUUUAAAGGGUUCGUAGGCGGGGAUGUAAGUCAGUGGUGAAAGCCUGCAGCUUAACUGUAGAAUUGCCAUUGAAACUACAUCUCUUGAAUAUAUAUGAAGUAGGCGGAAUGUGUCAUGUAGCGGUGAAAUGCACAGAUAUGACGCAGAACACCGAUAGCGAAGGCAGCUUACUAAUGUAUUAUUGACGCUGAUGAACGAAAGCGUGGGUAGCGAACAGGAUUAGAUACCCUGGUAGUCCACGCCGUAAACGAUGAUUACUCGAUAUUAGCUCUGCUAGUGUCUAAGCGAAAGUGAUAAGUAAUCCACCUGGGGAGUACGAUCGCAAGAUUGAAACUCAAAGGAAUUGACGGGGGCCCGCACAAGCGGUGGAGCAUGUGGUUUAAUUCGAUGAUACGCGAGGAACCUUACCUAGGCUUAAAUGUGACCGGACAAGCUGUGAAAACAGCCUUUCUUCGGACUGGUCUCAAGGUGCUGCAUGGUUGUCGUCAGCUCGUGCUGUGAGGUGUCGGGUUAAGUCCCAUAACGAGCGCAACCCUUAUCUUUAGUUGCCAGCAUUAAGUUGGGCACUCUAAAGAGACUGCCGGUGUCAAACUGGAGGAAGGUGGGGAUGACGUCAAGUCCUCAUGGCCCUUAUACCUAGGGCUACACACGUGCUACAAUGGUAAAUACAGAGGGCAGCGAGCCAGCGAGGUGAAGCGAAUCCCAAAAUUAUGUCUCAGUCCGGAUUGGAGUCUGCAACUCGACUCCAUGAAGUUGGAAUCGCUAGUAAUCGCGGAUCAGCAUGCCGCGGUGAAUAUGUUCCCGGGCCUUGUACACACCGCCCGUCACACCACGAGAGUUGAUUAUACCUUAAGGCAAGGUUUUAAACCCUUGACCACGGUAUAGUCAGCGACUGGGGUGAAGUCGUAACAAGGUAACC